This 240-nucleotide unclassified non-coding RNA is filed under the name soil metagenome. RNAcentral describes it as "partial contains 5.8S ribosomal RNA, internal transcribed spacer 2, and large subunit ribosomal RNA". The record is from RNAcentral.
AACCAUAGAAACCUGCGGAGUACCUGCGGAAGGAUCAUUACAGAGUUGCAAAACUCCCUAAACCUUUGUGAACGUUACCUAAACCGUUGCUUCGGCGGGCGGCCCGGGUCCUUCCCGGCGCCCCUCGGCCCUCGCGGGCGCCCGCCGGAGGUAAACCAAACUAUUGCAUUGUAUGGCCUCUCUGAGUCUUCUGUACUGAAUAAGUCAAAACUUUCAACAAUGGAUCUCAGAUCGGAAGAG